UUCUAGCUGACGAGUCCCGAAUAGGAUGAAACGUGCGUCCUGGAU
RNAcentral lists this non-coding RNA (45 nucleotides) under Schistosoma haematobium. The record is from RNAcentral. Lineage: Eukaryota; Metazoa; Platyhelminthes; Trematoda; Strigeidida; Schistosomatidae.